RNAcentral lists this ribosomal RNA (456 nucleotides) under uncultured bacterium. Its description in RNAcentral is "bacterial SSU rRNA". It matches the Rfam family "Bacterial small subunit ribosomal RNA", at positions 29 to 530 of the family's 1533-position model. The record is from RNAcentral.
AACGAACGCUGGCGGCAGGCCUAACACAUGCAAGUCGAGCGAGGACUUCGGUCCUAGCGGCGGACGGGUGAGUAACGCGUGGGAACGUGCCCUUUGGUACGGAAUAGCCCCGGGAAACUGGGAGUAAUACCGUAUGGUGUCUUCGGACUAAAGAUUUAUCGCCAAAGGAUCGGCCCGCGUUGGAUUAGGUAGUUGGUGGGGUAAUGGCCUACCAAGCCGACGAUCCAUAGCUGGUUUGAGAGGAUGAUCAGCCACACUGGGACUGAGACACGGCCCAGACUCCUACGGGAGGCAGCAGUGGGGAAUCUUAGACAAUGGGGGCAACCCUGAUCUAGCCAUGCCGCGUGAGUGAUGAAGGCCCUAGGGUUGUAAAGCUCUUUCAGUGGGGAAGAUAAUGACUGUACCCACAGAAGAAGCCCGGCUAACUCCGUGCCAGCAGCCGCGGUAAUGUCAGUG